RNAcentral lists this ribosomal RNA (492 nucleotides) under uncultured bacterium. RNAcentral describes it as "partial 16S ribosomal RNA". It matches the Rfam family "Bacterial small subunit ribosomal RNA", at positions 29 to 507 of the family's 1533-position model. The record is from RNAcentral.
AGUGAACGCUGGCGGUAGGCCUAACACAUGCAAGUCGAACGGCAGCACAGUAAGAGCUUGCUCUUACGGGUGGCGAGUGGCGGACGGGUGAGGAAUACAUCGGAAUCUACUUUUUCGUGGGGGAUAACGUAGGGAAACUUACGCUAAUACAGCAUACGACCUACGGGUGAAAGCAGGGGAUCUUCGGACCUUGCGCGAAUGAAUGAGCCGAUGUCGGAUUAGCUAGUUGGCGGGGUAAAGGCCAACCAAGGCGAGGAUCCGUAGCUGGUCUGAGAGGAUGAUCAGCCACACUGGAACUGAGACACGGUCCAGACUCCUACGGGAGGCAGCAGUGGGGAAUAUUGGACAAUGGGCGCAAGCCUGAUCCAGCCAUACCGCGUGGGUGAAGAAGGCCUUCGGGUUGUAAAGCCCUUUUGUUGGGAAAGAAAAGCAGCAGGUUAAUACCCCGCUGUUCUGACGGUACCCAAAGAAUAAGCACCGGCUAACUUCGUG